GGCACAGAUCCACAUCCUAUCCGGUUACUCAUCCAGCCCAGUGCCCAGGACUUCGAGGGGCGUGCCGUCUUUCCCGUCAGGCUCCCCAUGCUCUGGCAGCCUAUACACUGAGAGAUGCCCUGAGGCCCCUGUGGACUUGAAAACUGGCAAAAAUUCCAAAUAUCCUCGGUUUUCCCAGCCUGGACGAUGAUUCCUUGGCCUUCGAGUUGCCUGGUGGGGGUGAAGCAUGGCCCAGGGUGGAGGACAGUGGCCAGGUACCUGCUAUCGUCUCCGAGUUGGUCCCUGAAUGGCUCUAGGACGAGGUCUUGUAUCCUGCUUUGUCAUCCAGGCUGGAGUUCAGUGGCAAUUCACAGGUGUGAUCAUAGCUCACUGCAGCCUCGACCUUCUGGGCUCAAGCGAUUCUCCUGUCUCAGCCUCCGGAGUAGCUGGGACCACAGGUAUGUGCCAACACACCUGGCUGCUAUUCUGUGAUGGCAGCCCAAACACACUGGGUGAAGCAUGAUUUGAGGAGAAGUCUUCACUGUGGUUUUCUGUGUGAUUUUCAGCCAUUGAUACAAGUAUUUAUUGAGAGGCUACUUUGUACCCGGCACUCCUCCAAGUUGGGUUAGCAUGCAUUUUCUGUAAGGGACCAGGUGGUAACUAUUUAGGGUGUUGGCCAGUUGUAAUGCUAAGUAGUCAUGGACACCACGUAAACAAAUGAGUGUGGCUUCCUUCAAUAAGACUUUGAUUAUGAAAACAGGCUGCAAAGCUGCGCGGUGGUGCACGCCUGUAGUCACAGCUGCUUUGGAGGCUGGUCCCGGGAGGACCCUACCCUAGAAACCUCCCCAAGAACCACUGUACUGCUCUUCCUACGAGGACUGAAUUCUCAUUUUGUGCCGUUCUUGGCACAUUUGCUCGGCACUGUCUCUACCUCUCUCCCUGUAUCUCUGUGCCAAGUCUUAGAGGGCAGGAUCCAUGUCUGUUGCUCCUCUGGGUGUAGGAAUUUGAGACCAGCCUGGGCAACAUAGCAAGACUCUUGUCUCUUUAAAGCAAAACCCCAGAACAGGCCACAGGCCAGAUUUGGCCUCUAGCUGACUUCAAACCAAAACCAGGCCCAAUGAGCCUGUCUCUAUGGAAUUUACACUCAAGUGGGGGAAGGCAGACAGGAAACAGUAAUAUAAUAAAUGUGUAAAUCUCUGCAUAUGUGAGACGGUAAGAUGGUGGUGUAGAGAAAUGGAGUGGGCUUCAGUGGCAUGUGCUGGUGCUGGCUGUGCACAUCUCUUUGCAGCGAGCUCACGUUAGUGGCUGGAAAUGGGCCGUGAUGGGAGCCCUUACCCCAGAGAGAUCAGCCGUGGCUACCCAUCAGGGCUCCCUGGGAGCUGGUCGGUAAACAUUCACCACACUGCCAUCAGGGGAUGGGGGGUGCUGCGUUUUAAGUUUUAGAAGACUGGUCUGGGUGGGUCUUCUUGAGGAGGAGACAUUUGAGGAAAGAAUUGAAGGAGGGCAGGGUGAGCCUGUGGCUUCCAGGGGAAAGGGUGUCCCACGUGGAGGGAGCAGUGGAUGGUGGGAGGGCUGGAGGAACAGCAAGGACUAGGGUGGGAGACCUGGGCCAUGGACGUUGCAAACCAGGUGAAGCCCUGGCAGGAGGGGAGGCGGGGAGGCUGCUCAGAGGCUACGGCAGGAGUCCAGGUGAGAUGAUGGCUGCUCUGUGCACGGUAGUAACAGUGGUGGCACCAACGUGACAUAUGACCCAUCAGGUGGCAGCUGGGAUAAAAGGAGUCAUGUGCUCAGGUGUUUGGACUUAGCAACUGGAGAGACGCAGUUGCCUUUUCUUUCUUUCUUUUUUUGAGACAGUCUUGCUCUGUUGCCCAGGCUAGAGUGCAGUUGUGCAGUCUCAGCUCACUGCAACCUCCGCCUCCCGUGUUCACUAAUAACCUCCCACCAUGACCAACUGGUUGUCACUACCUAAAAGGAGGGUCAGAUAGCAACUUUGGGCAGAAGUUUGAAAGGUGGCUGAAAUCCUGCUGUAGAUGUUGACGAGGAGUCGGGUAUUCAAGUCUGGACUUCAGAAGAGAGAUCUGGCCAGGCAUGGGGGCUCACGCUUAUAAUCCCAGCACCAUGGGAGGCCAAGGUAGGAGGAUUGCUUGAGGUCCAGAGCUCCAAACCGGCCUAGCCAAUUCAACAAGACCCUUCUCUACAAAAAAAAAAAAAAUUAAAACUUAACGUAUAGUGGCACAUGUCUGUAGUGCCAGCAGCUUGGGAGUUUGUGGGGGAGAUCACUUGAGUUGAAGGCUGCAAUGAAUUAUGAUGGUGCCAUCACACUCCAGCUGGGGCAACAGAGCAAGACCCUGUCUCAGAGAAAAAAAAAGGACAGAUCAGUCAGGAGUUAUUUACGUGUGGGUGAUUUUUAUUUUAUUUUUAUUUAUUUAUUUUUAAUUUUUAUUAUUAUUUUUGAGACGGAGUUUCGCUCUUGUUACCCAGGCUAGAGUGCAAUGGCGCAAUCCCAGCUCACCGCAACCUCCGCCUCCUGGGUUCAGGCAAUUCUCCUGCGUCAGCCUCCUGAGUAGCUGGGAUUACAGGCACGUGCCACCAUGCCCAGCUAAUUUUUUUGUAUUUUUAGUAGAGAUGGGGUUUCACCGUGUUGACCAGGAUGGUCUUGAUCUCUUGACCUCGUGAUCCACCCACCUCAGCCUCCCAGAGUGCUGGGAUUAUAGGCAUGAUCCACUGCGCCCAGCCCAUGUGGGUGAUUUUUAACUCGUCAGAGGAAUGGUAACAAUGAAGUACAGAAGAGCAUUGAGGACUGAGCCCUGGGGCCUGCCAGUGUUUGGAAAUUGAGAUCAAAGAUUCCCACAAAGAAGGCAGAAAAUGAGGGAAGAGGUAAGGAAGAAAGAGGUGAUUUUCAUGUCCAAGUAGAAACCCCUGGAAAUCAUAAUUCAAAGUCUAGCUCAGGCCAGGCGCAGUGGCUCAUGCCAGUAAUCCCAGCACUGUGGGAGGCCAAGGCCAGAGGAUCACCUGAGGUCAGGAGUUCAAGACUAGCCUAGCCAACGUGGUUAAAUCCCGUCUCUACUAAAAAUACAAAAAUUAGCCAGUCAUGGCAUGUGCGUAUAGUCCCAGCUACAUGGGAGGUGGAGACACAAGAAUUGCUUGAACCUGGGAGGCGGAGGUUGUAGUGAGCCAAGAUUAUGCAACUGCUCUCCAGCCUGGGCAACAGAGAGAUUCUGUCUCAAAAAAUAUAAUAAAUAAAAAUAAAAAUAAUUAAAACAAAGGCUAGCUCAAAAUCUCCUCCUCUGGGUGUCCUCCAACCACUCAACCUCCACCGCUCUUCCCUUCCCAUAGUUAUUACACAACCACUCCUGGGGUGCUUCUCACAUACUGUCUUGGGUUAACCAGCAGUCCCAAGAGGAGGUUGGCUCAGCAGUGUGGUGGCUCGAACCUGUAAUCCCAGCUCUUUGGGAGACCGAGGCAGGAGGAUCGCUUGAGGCCAGGAGUUCAAGGUUAACUUGGGGGACAUAGUAAGACCCUGUCUCUAAAAAUUGAGAAGUAACAGGGCAAGGUGGAGUGUUCAUAGUCCCAGCUACUCAGGAGGUUGAGAUAGGAGGAUCGCUUGAGCUUGGGAGGUCGAGGCUGCAGUGAGGUAUGUUAGCAUCACCGUACUCCAGCCUGGGGGACAGACAGAGACCUUGUCUCUAAAAAUAAAAAAUAGAGAGGCUGGGUGUGGUGGCUCACACCUAUGAUCCCAGGACUUGGGAGGCCAAGCCAGGUGGAUCACCUGAGGUCAGGAGUUUGAGACCCGCCUGGCCAACAUGGUGAAACUCUGUCUCAACUAAAAAUACAAAAAUUAACUGGGCAUGGUGGCGGGUGCCUGUAAUCACAGCUACUCGGGAGGUUGAACUUGGAGGCGGAGGUUGCAGUGAGCUGAGAUCACACCAUCACACUCCCGUCCCGGCAACAAGAGCAAAACUCCAUCUAAAAAAAAAAACAAAUAAAAAUAAAAAAUAGAGAAAGAAGAAUGUCUUUGGCUUUCUGAGCGAAAGCCUCAGGGAAGACCCCUAGGUUCCCCAACCCUCACUGCACCCAAUACCCGAGUCACCUUACAGACAGCACCCAUGGGCUCCUGGCUAUGGCCCCUGGCUGGGUAAAUCCUUUCCCUCCCUCGUUCCUUGGUAAAUGUAGGAGGUGGUGACUGGUUUCUUCAAGAGAACAUGUAGAGACUCUAGAGCUGAGCCUAAGGAAUGAGGCUGUGUGGUGGUCCCACCUGCUUCCCUGGGGUCCUUCCUGCAGGCUGUUCUCCCCAGCAGCCCAGGUCACCCUCUUACCUUUGCAGGUAGAUCUGGAGCCCCUGGCGUCAUCGUGCAUACUUGGGAUCAGCCAUGCACUGCAGUAUUCUCCAGGCUGAAGUCAUGGAACCACUUUUAAUUCUCCCGUCAAAGACCAUGGCAUUCCCUCGAAGUGAACCCCAAGAUGGCAGCAGCUGAGGAGGGGGAUGCUGAACAAGUGGCCUGAUGCCUUCUGUCACUGGAUUUUCUCUGGACCAACUAUGCUGUUCACUUUUGUCCUUGAGGUUCAUGCACAUGGAGAGAGAGCUCUAGUCCGGGCACAUUUUCCUUCCACGAGGUCCCUAUGGUCAGGAUACCUCCCCAGAACCACCCUUUCUCUUUCCAUGAGGACAAAGCCCUAUUUUUUUUUUUUUUUGACACAGGGUCUCCUGCGGCUCCGUCUGGGCUCAGGCGAUCCCCUGACCUCAGCCUCCUGAGUAGCUGGGACUACAGGGAUACCACCAUGCCUUACUAAUUUUUUGGAUUCUUUAGUAGAGACAGGGGUUUCAUCUUGUUGCCCAGGCUGGUCUUGAACUCCUGAGCUCAAGUCAUCUCCCCGCCUCCGCUUCCCAAAGUGCUGGGAUUACAGGCGUGAGCCACUGUGCCAGGCAGUCCUCUCUUUUGUGCUGUUCUUGAUACAUUUGGUUGUCACUUUCUCUACUUCUCUCCCUGUAUUUAUUUUUUUUUAGAUGGAGUCUUGUUCUGUUGCCCAGGCUGGAGUGCAGUGGCAUAAUCUCUGCUCACUGCAACCUCCACCUCCCUGGGUUCAAGCAGUUCUCCUGCCUCAACCUCCUGAGUAGCUGGGAUGACAGGUGCCCACAACCAUGCCUGGCUAAUUUUUUUUAUUUUUAGAAGAGGCAGGGUUUCACCAUGUUGGCCAGGCUGGUCUUGAACUCCCGACUUCAGGUGAUCCACCCUCCUUGGCCUCCCUAAGUGCUGGGAUUACAGGCAUGAGCCACUGUGCCUGGCCUGUGUUUCUGCACCGAGUCUUGGAGGGCAGGAUGGAUGUCCUCUGUUGCUCUAUAAAUCUGCUCUCCAUAUUGCAGCCAGAGGACUGACCCCUCUUUAAAGCUCCAAGAUCAUGUGCUUUUUCUUAAAACCAGACUCAGAACAGUGCCCUACUUACAACUGAGCUCAAUGGUGGUUUGA
RNAcentral lists this long non-coding RNA (5444 nucleotides) under Callithrix jacchus (white-tufted-ear marmoset). RNAcentral's name for it is "lncRNA (ENSCJAG00000069695.1)". Lineage: Eukaryota; Metazoa; Chordata; Mammalia; Primates; Cebidae. The record is from RNAcentral.